Molecule: unclassified non-coding RNA, 231 nt
Filed under: plant metagenome
Description: partial contains small subunit ribosomal RNA, internal transcribed spacer 1, and 5.8S ribosomal RNA
Rfam family: 5.8S ribosomal RNA (bases 183-231)
Source: RNAcentral
UUUCCGUAGGUGAACCUGCGGAAGGAUCAUUCAUAAUAAAGUGUUUUAUGGCACUUUUUAAAAAUCCAUAUCCACCUUGUGUGCAAUGUUAGAUCUCGUCAAUCUUGGCGAGAUUUUUAUACAUCAACUCAUUCUUUAACUAAUUUGUCUGAAAAAUAUUAUGAAUACUUAAUUCAAAAUACAACUUUCAACAACGGAUCUCUUGGCUCUCGCAUCGAUGAAGAAGGCAGC